AACUUUCAACAACGGAUCUCUUGGUUCUGGCAUCGAUGAAGAACGCAGCGAAAUGCGAUAAGUAAUGUGAAUUGCAAAAUUCAGUGAAUCAUCGAAUCUUUGAACGCACAUUGCGCCCGCCAGUAUUCUGGCGGGCAUGCCUGUCCGAGCGUCAUUUC
Molecule: ribosomal RNA, 158 nt
Filed under: Trichoderma harzianum
Lineage: Eukaryota; Fungi; Ascomycota; Sordariomycetes; Hypocreales; Hypocreaceae
Description: 5.8S ribosomal RNA
Rfam family: 5.8S ribosomal RNA
About the family: 5.8S ribosomal RNA (5.8S rRNA) is a component of the large subunit of the eukaryotic ribosome. It is transcribed by RNA polymerase I as part of the 45S precursor that also contains 18S and 28S rRNA.
Source: RNAcentral